This 306-nucleotide long non-coding RNA is filed under the name Hordeum vulgare. RNAcentral's name for it is "long non-coding RNA (HVUL_LNC018189)". Lineage: Eukaryota; Viridiplantae; Streptophyta; Magnoliopsida; Poales; Poaceae. The record is from RNAcentral.
UAAUCGAACUCUCUUAGCUCAUUGAAAUCAUACAAUUUAAUUACAAUAUUUCUUCCGAUAAAACAUUGACACUCAUUACCCGACUUCUAUAUUUUAUUUGGCUCAUGAUGUCAAUUAUUUUGUGUCAAUACAGUACAACAAAGGAUUCCAGUUGGAGGAUCCACAUCAUGUAAGGGAGCAAGAGAUCCGAAACUGGUAGAUACAUACACUAAUUCUAUUCAGAGUUCCACUGAAAUUAUCAAAUAUUCGGAUAGAAUCAUAUGGGUGGUCGAGCCACGUCCACAGGUGCGACAGACAUCGAGCAUU